UGGCUCAGGACGAACGCUGGCGGUAUGCUUAACACAUGCAAGUCGAACGAGAAGGAAGAGCUUGCUCUUCCUGAAAGUGGCGAACGGGUGAGUAACGCGUGGGUAACCCUACCCUUUGGAAAGGAAUAGCCUCGGGAAACUGCGAAUAAUGCCUUAUAAGAUACGUUUGUCGCAUGGCAUUUGUAUUAAACGCUCCGGCGCCAUAGGAUGGACCCGCGUCCCAUUAGCUAGUUGGUGAGAUAACAGCUCACCAAGGCCACGAUGGGUAACCGGUCUGAGAGGGCGAACGGUCACACUGGAACUGAGACACGGUCCAGACUCCUACGGGAGGCAGCAGUGGGGAAUAUUGCGCAAUGGGGGCAACCCUGACGCAGCAAUACCGCGUGAGUGAAGAAGGUUUUCGGAUCGUAAAGCUCUGUUAUUGGGGAAGAAAAAAAGACGGUACCCAAGAAGAAAGUUCCGGCUAACUACGUGCCAGCAGCCGCGGUAAUACGUAGGGAACAAGCGUUGUCCGGAUUUACUGGGCGUAAAGGGCACGCAGGCGGUUUUUUAAGUCAGAUGUGAAAGGCCACAGCUCAACUGUGGACAUGCAUUUGAAACUGAAAGACUUGAGUAUUGGAGAGGCAAGUGGAAUUCCUAGUGUAGCGGUGAAAUGCGUAGAUAUUAGGAGGAACACCGGUGGCGAAGGCGGCUUGCUGGACAAAUACUGACGCUGA
RNAcentral lists this ribosomal RNA (716 nucleotides) under uncultured bacterium. Its description in RNAcentral is "bacterial SSU rRNA". It matches the Rfam family "Bacterial small subunit ribosomal RNA", at positions 20 to 749 of the family's 1533-position model. The record is from RNAcentral.